This 410-nucleotide ribosomal RNA is filed under the name uncultured Methylomirabilota bacterium. RNAcentral describes it as "bacterial SSU rRNA". It matches the Rfam family "Bacterial small subunit ribosomal RNA", at positions 1025 to 1434 of the family's 1533-position model. Lineage: Bacteria; Methylomirabilota (SeqCode). The record is from RNAcentral.
AACGUGGAGACAGGUGGUGCAUGGCUGUCGUCAGCUCGUGUCGUGAGAUGUUGGGUUAAGUCCCGCAACGAGCGCAACCCUCACCCCUUGUUGCUACCAGGUUAUGCUGGGCACUCUAGGGGAACUGCCCCGGUCAACGGGGAGGAAGGCGGGGACGACGUCAAGUCAUCAUGCCCCUUACGUCCUGGGCUACACACGUGCUACAAUGGCCGGUACAGAGGGAUGCAAGACCGCGAGGUGGAGCUAAACCCAAAAAGCCGGUCUAAGUUCAGAUUGGAGUCUGCAACUCGACUCCAUGAAGGAGGAAUCGCUAGUAAUCGCGUAUCAGCACGACGCGGUGAAUACGUUCCCGGGCCUUGUACACACCGCCCGUCACACCACGAAAGCCAGCUGUACUCGAAGUCGCUGAG